RNAcentral lists this non-coding RNA (25 nucleotides) under Cricetulus griseus (Chinese hamster). The record is from RNAcentral. Lineage: Eukaryota; Metazoa; Chordata; Mammalia; Rodentia; Cricetidae.
ACGUGGGCAACAAAGGAACUGAGGA